This 855-nucleotide ribosomal RNA is filed under the name uncultured bacterium. RNAcentral's name for it is "bacterial SSU rRNA". It matches the Rfam family "Bacterial small subunit ribosomal RNA", at positions 28 to 896 of the family's 1533-position model. The record is from RNAcentral.
GACGAACGCUGGCGGCGUGCCUAACACAUGCAAGUCGAACGGAGAUAUGAUUUCGGUUAUAUCUUAGUGGCGAACGGGUGAGUAACGCGUGAGCAACCUGACUCUUAGAGGGGGAUAACACUCGGAAACGAGUGCUAAUACCGCAUAAGACCACGACAUGGCAUCAUGACGAGGUCAAAGGAGCAAUCCGCUGAGAGAGGGGCUCGCGUCCCAUUAGAUAGAUGGCGGGGUAACGGCCCACCAUGUCAACGAUGGGUAGCCGAGCUGAGAGGCUGAUCGGCCACACUGGAACUGAGACACGGUCCAGACUCCUACGGGAGGCAGCAGUGGGGAAUAUUGGGCAAUGGGCGCAAGCCUGACCCAGCAACGCCGCGUGAGGGAAGAAGGCUUUCGGGUUGUAAACCUCUGUCCUUGGUGACGAAAAAAAUGACGGUAGCCAAGGAGGAAGCCCCGGCUAACUACGUGCCAGCAGCCGCGGUAAUACGUAGGGGGCGAGCGUUGUCCGGAAUUACUGGGCGUAAAGGGUGCGUAGGUGGCCUUUUAAGUUGGAUGUGAAAUACCCGGGCUUAACCUGGGGGGUGCAUCUAAUACUGGGAGGCUAGAGUGCAGGAGAGGAAAGCGGAAUUCCUAGUGUAGCGGUGAAAUGCGUAGAUAUUAGGAGGAACACCAGUGGCGAAGGCGGCUUUCUGGACUGUAACUGACAUUGAGGCACGAAAGCGUGGGGAGCAAACAGGAUUAGAUACCCUGGUAGUUCACGCGGUAAACGAUGAAUACUAGGUGUAGGGGGUAUCAACUCCCCCUGUGCCGGAGCUAACGCAAUAAGUAUUCCGCCUGGGGAGUACGGCCGCAAGGUUG